Molecule: ribosomal RNA, 774 nt
Filed under: uncultured Neocallimastigales
Lineage: Eukaryota; Fungi; Neocallimastigomycota; Neocallimastigomycetes; Neocallimastigales
Description: partial large subunit ribosomal RNA
Rfam family: Eukaryotic large subunit ribosomal RNA
Source: RNAcentral
UCAGACGAUGCGUCACGCAUAUCAAUAAGCGGAGGAAAAGAAACUAACUAGGAUUCCCCUAGUAACGGCGAGUGAAGCGGGAAGAGCUCAAAUUUGAAAUCUUAAAGGGUUUCCCUUUACGAAUUGUAGUUUAAAGAAGUGUUUUCUGUUGAGGUUUUGGUAAAAGUUCUUUGGAAUAGGACAUCAUAGAGGGUGAGAAUCCCGUAUUUGACCUUUACUUUCAACUUUGUGAUACACUUUCAAAGAGUCGGAUUGUUUGGGAAUGCAGUCCUAAAUGGGUGGUAAAUUUCAUCUAAAGCUAAAUAUUGGCGAGAGACCGAUAGCGAACAAGUACCGUGAGGGAAAGAUGAAAAGAACUUUGAAAAGAGAGUUAAACAGUACGUGAAAUUGUCAAAAGGGAAGCGUUUGACACCAGUGUUGUUUUUCUGAAAAUCAAUUAAAGAACUGUUUAUGCUAAGUUGUUUAGACUUUAUCAGCUAACUGUUUAGUUUUGAGCUUUUCUUUAAUGCACUUUUCAGUUAACAAGUCAUCAUCAAUUUCUUUUGCUGUAAAAAAGCUUGAGGAAAGUGGCUUGAGAUUCGUCUUAAGUGUUUAUAGCCUCUUGCCUAUGCAGUCGGAGAGAUUGAGGUCUGCAGCGUAGAUCCUUCGGGGCUAAAUGCAUUUGUGCUAAGUUAUAGCAUUUUAUAGACAACUUGUUGACUAUGAUUUGUCUUGUAGCUUACUCGCUUAUGUUAUUUUACCUACGCUUAGGAUGUUGAAUCUGUGCGAGACUAC